GAUGAAGAACGCAGCGAAAUGCGAUAAGUAGUGUGAAUUGCAGAAUUCAGUGAAUCAUCGAAUCUUUGAACGCACAUUGCGCCCGCCAGUAUUCUGGCGGGCAUGCCUGUUCGAGCGUCAUUUCAACCCUCAAGCCCCCGGGUUUGGUGUUGGGGAUCGGGCUGUACUCCAGCCCGGCCCCGAAAUCUAGUGGCGGUCUCGCUGCAGCCUCCAUUGCGUAGUAGCUAACACCUCGCAACUGGAACGCGGCGCGGCCAAGCCGUUAAACCCCCAACUUCUGAAUGUUGACCUCGGAUCAGGUAGGAAUACCCGCUGAACUUAAGCAUAUCAUAAGCGGAGGA
Molecule: unclassified non-coding RNA, 341 nt
Filed under: soil metagenome
Description: partial contains 5.8S ribosomal RNA, internal transcribed spacer 2, and large subunit ribosomal RNA
Rfam family: 5.8S ribosomal RNA (bases 1-120)
Source: RNAcentral